This 1246-nucleotide long non-coding RNA is filed under the name Oryctolagus cuniculus (rabbit). RNAcentral describes it as "lncRNA (ENSOCUG00000035989.1)". The record is from RNAcentral. Lineage: Eukaryota; Metazoa; Chordata; Mammalia; Lagomorpha; Leporidae.
GACCAUGGAUCUUUAUCAAUUUAGCUAAUUAAUUUUCUGCUCAAGGUCAAAAAGAUCUUAUGUUCAUUAACCGGAGUAUAGUGGGUCUUUGCUGAAGAUUAAGAAAUAAAGAUGAUCAUUUAACCAGAAGGACAGAGGAUAAUCUGUUCCUGAAAAUAGCAACCUCAAUCAGCUGUCAAAGUGGACUAUGGAAAAAAAAUGUACUCAGGACAGUGCCCAGCUACGGUCCCUGCGCCAGAAUAUUCUUCCUCCCAGUGAGAGCCCUGAAUCGCAUUCUUUAUAUAUCAAACACAGCCCCACCCCAUCCUCAAAUUCUUUCUGGUGAGUUACACUUCUGUAUUAUGACUUCUGUGUACCAUGAGGCAAUAGCAAAAGAAGGAACCGCAUGAUAUGCGUAGUCCCUGCAAGAACGCUGUUGAGAAUAUUGGUUGGCACCUGUCCAUACACUGUCCCCUAGAAGACAGUGGAAAGGGACCUUUGUUUUCAGCCCCCAGGAAUAGCUGUUCUCCUCUGAACAGCCAGUUUAUUUUCAGAUGGCAACCAGGAACGGAAGCCUUGUGAGCCUUGGCAGACUUGAUCUUCGCAUUUUCAACCACUCACAAGGCACACUCCAGUUUAACCACAGCCACUACAAAGCUGGGGUGUGGUGCCAAGCCCUUGCUGUGGAGUGAGUCUGGCGCCCGGUGGGCACUUAGCAUAGCUUUGUUGUUCAGGUAUCCCCAGUGACCUGCACUGUUCCUCACACACUGUCCUGUCUGGACAUGCGCUCCUCUCUACGCUGGCUGCGGAAGCACAAAGAAUUGUACACCCCUUCCAAAGUGGACAGGAUAGCAGAUGUCGGGGAGAUACAAAAAGUGCAAAUCCACCUUUGCCUUCAGUGAGUUUGUCAUCUAAAAGUAAAAUCGAGGGUUCACAAUUGUGGCACACACUAAGCCACGGCUUGCAGCACCAGCAUCCCAUACCAGAAUGCCUUUUUGGAGUCCUGGCUGCUCAGCUUCUGAUCCAACUCCACGCUAAUGUGCCUGAGAAGGCAGCAGAUAACAGCCCACGUAUGUGGCCCCCGCCACCUACACAGGAGACCCAGAUGGAGUUCCUGGCUCCCGGCUUAUGCUUGACCUAGCCCUGGCUGGUACAGCCACUUGGGGAAUGAUUCUCUCCCUCUCUCCCUCCCUUUGUCUGUCUCUUCCCUCCUCUGUCAUCCUGCCUUUCAAAUAAAUAAAUAAUUUUUUUAAAUUGGAGAUUGAAA